This 207-nucleotide long non-coding RNA is filed under the name Lathyrus oleraceus (garden pea). Its description in RNAcentral is "Pisum sativum (pea) long non-coding RNA (PSAT_LNC041431)". The record is from RNAcentral. Lineage: Eukaryota; Viridiplantae; Streptophyta; Magnoliopsida; Fabales; Fabaceae.
AAAUCAGAUUGAAAUGUGGGAAUUAUAGAAAUGAGGAUGUUAAACCCAUGAAAUUUGAUUGAGUUGUGGGAAAGAUGAAAAUGUUGGUGUUAAACCCAUGAAAUUUGAUUGAAUUGUGGGAAUUAUAGAAAUGAUGAUGCUUAACCCAUGAAAUUUGAUUGAAUUGUGGGAAUGAUGAAAAUGUUGAUGUUAAACCCAUGAAAUUUG